This 253-nucleotide ribosomal RNA is filed under the name uncultured bacterium. RNAcentral's name for it is "partial 16S ribosomal RNA". It matches the Rfam family "Bacterial small subunit ribosomal RNA", at positions 524 to 776 of the family's 1533-position model. The record is from RNAcentral.
UACGUAGGGGGCAAGCGUUAUCCGGAUUCACUGGGUGUAAAGGGAGCGUAGACGGCGACGCAAGUCUGGAGUGAAAGCCCGGGGCCCAACCCCGGGACUGCUCUGGAAACUGCGGCGCUGGAGUACGGGAGGGGCAGGCGGAAUUCCUGGUGUAGCGGUGAAAUGCGUAGAUAUAUGGAGGAACACCGGUGGCGAAAGCGGCUCUUUGGCCUGUAACUGACACUGAGGCUCGAAAGCGUGGGGAGCAAACAGG